GUAGUCCACGCCGUAAACGAUGGGCACUAGGUGCUUGGGGGAGCGACCCUCCGAGUGCCGGCGCUAACGCAUUAAGUGCCCCGCCUGGGGAGUACGACCGCAAGGUUGAAACUCAAAGGAAUUGACGGGGGCCCGCACAAGCGGUGGAGCAUGUGGUUUAAUUCGACGCAACGCGAAGAACCUUACCUAGGCUUGACAUGCUGGUGAAACCCCUUGGAAACAGGGGGCCUCCUUCGGGACACCAGCACAGGUGCUGCAUGGCUGUCGUCAGCUCGUGUCGUGAGAUGUUGGGUUAAGUCCCGCAACGAGCGCAACCCCCGUCUCCAGUUGCCAGCGCGUCAUGGCGGGGACUCUGGAGAGACUGCCGGUGCCAAACCGGA
This 380-nucleotide ribosomal RNA is filed under the name uncultured bacterium. Its description in RNAcentral is "bacterial SSU rRNA". It matches the Rfam family "Bacterial small subunit ribosomal RNA", at positions 790 to 1167 of the family's 1533-position model. The record is from RNAcentral.